GACGAACCGUGCAAACGUUGUCCGGAAUUACUGGGCGUAAAGCGUGCGUAGACGGUUGCGUAAGUCAGAUGUGAAAGCCCCGGGCUCAACCUGGGAAUUGCAUUUGAGACUGCGUAGCUAGGGUGCGGAAGAGGGAAGCGGAAUUUCCGGUGUAGCGGUGAAAUGCGUAGAUAUCGGAAGGAACACCAGUGGCGAAAGCGGCUUCCUGGUCCAGCACCGACGUUCAGGCACGAAAGCGUGGGGAGCAAACAGG
RNAcentral lists this ribosomal RNA (253 nucleotides) under uncultured bacterium. RNAcentral's name for it is "partial 16S ribosomal RNA". It matches the Rfam family "Bacterial small subunit ribosomal RNA", at positions 524 to 776 of the family's 1533-position model. The record is from RNAcentral.